AAUAGAUACCCCGGUAGUCCUAGCCGUAAACGAUGGACACUAGGUGUUGGUGGUAUCAACCCCACCAGUGCCGUAGCUAACGCAUUAAGUGUCCCGCCUGGGGAGUACGGCCGCAAGGCUAAAGCUCAAAGGAAUUGACGGGGGGCCCGCACAAGCAGCGGAGCGUGGGGUUUAAUUCGACGCAACGCGAAGAACCUUACCAGGGCUUGACAUGACCAGGGAUCCGGCGGAAACGUCGGCGCCCCGCAAGGGGCCUGGCCACAGGUGUUGCAUGGCUGUCGUCAGCUCGUGUCGUGAGAUGUUAGGUUAAGUCCCGCAACGAGCGCAACCCCUACUGUGUGUUGUAUCACUCACACGGGACUGCCGAGAGAAACUCGGAGGAAGGGUGGGGAUGACGUCAAGUCAGCAUGGCCCUUACGUCCUGGGCUACACCCACGCUACAAUGGCCGGUACGAACGGGCUGCGAAACCGCGAGGUGGAGCCAAUCCCUUAAAGCCGGUCUCAGUUCGGAUCGCAGGCUGCAACUCGCCUGCGUGAAGCCGGAGUU
Molecule: ribosomal RNA, 547 nt
Filed under: uncultured bacterium
Lineage: Bacteria
Description: bacterial SSU rRNA
Rfam family: Bacterial small subunit ribosomal RNA
Source: RNAcentral